AUGAAAUAUAUAUAUAUUAUUGGAAUUUCAUUAUUACUGUAUAAUAAUUUUGGUCAUUUUUAAUGCACCUGAUUCUUUGAUGGAUCCUAAUAAUAUAUGCUAAUAUCAUUUAAACUGGAUAAUAUUUAUAUGAUAUAUUGUUUAAUAAUCAAAUGUCCUCUCAGAUAUGAUCAAAUAUCAAUCAUUUUCAAUAUGAUUAAUCCCAUAGAUCAGUGUUUUCCAAACUGUGGGGUGUGCCCCAAUAGGGGGCAUGCAAGAAUUUACAAAACCAUCAUUUUUGAGACAAACAAACAAGUAAAUUCAAAUUGGUGUUGAAAAAAAUGAAUCAGCAAAAAGG
This 337-nucleotide long non-coding RNA is filed under the name Androctonus crassicauda. Lineage: Eukaryota; Metazoa; Arthropoda; Arachnida; Scorpiones; Buthidae. The record is from RNAcentral.